Schistosoma mattheei is the source of this 45-nucleotide non-coding RNA. NCBI's taxonomy places the organism in Eukaryota, Metazoa, Platyhelminthes, Trematoda, Strigeidida, Schistosomatidae. The record is from Rfam.
AUCUAGCUGACGAGUCCCAAAUAGAACGAAACGCGCACCCUGGAU